This 253-nucleotide ribosomal RNA is filed under the name uncultured bacterium. RNAcentral describes it as "partial 16S ribosomal RNA". It matches the Rfam family "Bacterial small subunit ribosomal RNA", at positions 524 to 776 of the family's 1533-position model. The record is from RNAcentral.
CACGUAGGAGGCGAGCGUUGUCCGGAAUCAUUGGGCGUAAAGAGCGCGCAGGCGGCUUGGCAAGUCGGGUGUGAAAUCCCGGGGCUCAACCCCGGGACUGCAUUCGAUACUGUCAGGCUAGAGGUAGGUAGGGGAGAUCGGAAUUCCUGGUGUAGCGGUGAAAUGCGCAGAUAUCAGGAGGAACACCGGUGGCGAAGGCGGAUCUCUGGGCCUUACCUGACGCUAAGGAGCGAAAGCGUGGGGAGCGAACAGG